AGUGAACGCUGGCGGUAGGCCUAACACAUGCGAGUCGAACGGCAGCACAGUAAGAGCUUGCUCUUACGGGUGGCGAGUGGCGGACGGGUGAGGAAUACAUCGGAAUCUGCUUUUUCGUGGGGGAUAACGUAGGGAAACUUACGCUAAUACCGCAUACGACCUACGGGUGAAAGCAGGGGAUCUUCGGACCUUGCGCGAUUGAAUGAGCCGAUGUCGGAUUAGCUAGUUGGCGGGGUAAAGGCCCACCGAGGCGACGAUCCGUAGCUGGUCUGAGAGGAUGAUCAGCCACACUGGAACUGAGACACGGUCCAGACUCCUACGGGAGGCAGCAGUGGGGAAUAUUGGACAAUGGGCGCAAGCCUGAUCCAGCCAUACCGCGUGGGUGAAGAAGGCCUUCGGGUUGUAAAGCCCUUUUGUUGGGAAAGAAAAGCAGCAGGUUAAUACCCCGCUGUUCUGACGGUACCCAAAGAAUAAGCACCGGCUAACUUCGUG
This 492-nucleotide ribosomal RNA is filed under the name uncultured bacterium. Its description in RNAcentral is "partial 16S ribosomal RNA". It matches the Rfam family "Bacterial small subunit ribosomal RNA", at positions 29 to 507 of the family's 1533-position model. The record is from RNAcentral.